GAUGAACGCUGACAGAAUGCUUAACACAUGCAAGUCUACUUGAACUUCGGUUUGGGUGGCGGACGGGUGAGUAACGCGUAAAGAACUUGCCUCACAGUUAGGGACAACAUUUGGAAACGGAUGCUAAUACCUGAUAUUAUGAUUUUAGGGCAUCCUAAGAUUAUGAAAGCUAUAUGCGCUGUGAGAGAGCUUUGCGUCCCAUUAGCUAGUUGGAGAGGUAACGGCUCACCAAGGCGAUGAUGGGUAGCCGGCCUGAGAGGGUGAACGGCCACAAGGGGACUGAGACACGGCCCUUACUCCUACGGGAGGCAGCAGUGGGGAAUAUUGGACAAUGGACCAAAAGUCUGAUCCAGCAAUUCUGUGUGCACGAUGACGUUUUUCGGAAUGUAAAGUGCUUUCAGUUGGGAAGAAAAAAAUGACGGUACCAACAGAAGAAGUGACGGCUAAAUACGUGCCAGCAGCCGCGGUAAUACGUAUGUCACAAGCGUUAUCCGGAUUUAUUGGGCGUAAAGCGCGUCUAGGUGGUUAUGUAAGUCUGAUGUGAAAAUGCAGGGCUCAACUCUGUAUUGCGUUGGAAACUGCAUGACUAGAGUACUGGAGAGGUAAGCGGAACUACAAGUGUAGAGGUGAAAUUCGUAGAUAUUUGUAGGAAUGCCGAUGGGGAAGCCAGCUUACUGGACAGAUACUGACGCUAAAGCGCGAAAGCGUGGGUAGCAAACAGGAUUAGAUACCCUGGUAGUCCAAGGGCGAAUUCCACAGUGGAUAUCAAGCUUAUCGAUACCGUCGACCUCGAGGGGGGGCCCGGUACCCAGCUUUUGUUCCUUANGGGGGGGGGUUA
RNAcentral lists this ribosomal RNA (838 nucleotides) under uncultured Fusobacterium sp. RNAcentral describes it as "bacterial SSU rRNA". It matches the Rfam family "Bacterial small subunit ribosomal RNA". Lineage: Bacteria; Fusobacteriati; Fusobacteriota; Fusobacteriia; Fusobacteriales; Fusobacteriaceae. The record is from RNAcentral.